UGGGACCCCCCUUUUGCAUUUUGGUGUCUGU
RNAcentral lists this non-coding RNA (31 nucleotides) under Rattus norvegicus (Norway rat). The record is from RNAcentral. Lineage: Eukaryota; Metazoa; Chordata; Mammalia; Rodentia; Muridae.